UUAUAUUAGUGCAUUUUAGCUUCUUAUUCUCUAGAAAUAGGAUAGUUUAUAUAUUUUUCUUUAAUUUUAGAUUUUUGUAAAAUAGUAUUAUCUGCUUGAUGAUUUGCUGGGUGAAUCCGAUUUCACUUUUGACAGUUCUGUAUUAUUUAAUGAUUCACUCAUGCAUGCUGAUUUUGAUGUUGUAGAUGAUAAACUUAGGGUUGUCACUAAUAUUGAUGGGGCUGCAGACAUUAAAGAUACAAAAGCAGUCUUGUUCGAGGUAGGAGAUGCUAUUAACACUGUCAAGACAGCUUGGAUCAUUAAGAAUCAGAAGAAAAAGUGUGAGGAGCUCUGGCUGCUGCAGCAAGGUGUCUUGAAAGUGCAGAACCAGAAGCUAAUACUGAAGGGAAAGUUAUUGUUGCAGAAAGGAAGAACUGAGAAAGAGCAAUUCAAUACAAC
RNAcentral lists this long non-coding RNA (438 nucleotides) under Vigna radiata. Its description in RNAcentral is "long non-coding RNA (VRAD_LNC017142)". Lineage: Eukaryota; Viridiplantae; Streptophyta; Magnoliopsida; Fabales; Fabaceae. The record is from RNAcentral.